UUAUCACCAAAUCUCCUCGCUUUUGGUGGGAACCGUCACUAACAUCGCUUCAGGUGAAACCUGCGGAAGGAUCAUUACAGUGUUAGGCUUCGGCCUCAUUCACACCCCUUGUUGAACCUCUGGUUUCUUUGGCGAUGUCAUGGACUCGUCAAACUUUAACUCUGAGAAUGUGGUACUGUCCGAGUAGGAGAUUGAAUUAUCA
RNAcentral lists this unclassified non-coding RNA (202 nucleotides) under soil metagenome. Its description in RNAcentral is "partial internal transcribed spacer 1". The record is from RNAcentral.